AUAAAGCGUUAGGGAUUGCAGCGGCAUCCUUUUUUUGGCGGUUGGGCCGGCAAAAAAAGAUAUAGCGGAAAGAGCGCCCCAUA
RNAcentral lists this small RNA (83 nucleotides) under Arenibacter nanhaiticus. RNAcentral describes it as "Flavo-1 RNA". The stretch from base 15 to 72 matches the Rfam family "Flavo-1 RNA", at positions 12 to 65 of the family's 76-position model. The record is from RNAcentral. Lineage: Bacteria; Pseudomonadati; Bacteroidota; Flavobacteriia; Flavobacteriales; Flavobacteriaceae.